Molecule: non-coding RNA, 955 nt
Filed under: Pan troglodytes (chimpanzee)
Lineage: Eukaryota; Metazoa; Chordata; Mammalia; Primates; Hominidae
Source: RNAcentral
AAAAAAGAAAAAACGAGAAAAGGAAAAAGAGCUGCAUACCUGGCAGGCCUAUUGUGUGCAAAGCCCUUGAGUGACACACCCUAUGACCCACAGCACUGUGGCGAUCCCAGGGCCGCACCAGCUCUCUCUCCUUCCCCUCCUCAGGGCCACACCAACUGUGGGGUUCCAGCUAUCACUCUGUGCAAAGGACUCCUAACAUGGGUGUCCUCCGUCUCACCCCAUAAGCCACACUGGCCAAGGCCAGGCAGGCACCACACAACGCGAGACACAUGCUUGGUCACUGGGCUGUGGAACAUACAGAAGCCCCUUGCUCCGGAACACGGACCACCCGACAGGAGCACGGACACAGCAGUCGGGGCAACGUGGGUGCCUCACAGAAGAGGGAAAAAGCCAGGAGGGCGGCACGAGGGCGCAAAGUUCUCAGCUUCGUUAGUCAUCAAGAAAAUGCAAACUAAAACCAAGGUAAGUGUGAGGGUUACUACUGAGUUUCAACUUGACUGGACUAAAGGAUGUGUAACUGUUCCUGGGAGCAUCUUGAGGAAGCUGCCAAAGGAGAUUCACUUUGACUCAGUGGACGGGGAGAGGCCGACGCACCCUCCAUCUGCGGGGGCAUGAUCUCAUCAGCUGCCAGCACGGCAGAGGAACGCGGAAGCACUGGACUGGCUGAGUCUUCCAGCCUCCAUCUUUCUUCCAUGCUGGAUACUUCCUGCCCUCGAACAUCAGACUCCAAGUGCUUCAGCUUUUGGGUUCUUGGACCUACACCAGUGGUUUGCCAGGGGCUCUUGGGCCUUCGGCCACAGACUGAAAGCUGCGCUGUUGGCUUCCCGACUUUAGAGGUUUGGGGACUCGGACUGGCUUCCUGGCUCCUCAGCUUGCCAACAGCCUAUUGUGGGACUUCACCUCAUGAUUGUGUGAGUCAAUACUCCCAAUAAACUCCCCUCCAUAUAUACAUUUA